UAAAACCAGCACCUCAAGUGGUCAGGAUGAUUAUUGGGCCUAAAGCAUCCGUAGCCUGUUCUAUAAGUUUCCGGUUAAAUCCAUAUGCUCAACAUAUGGGCCGUCGGAAAUACUGUAGAACUAGGGAGUGGGAGAGGUAGACGGUACUCGGUAGGAAGAGGUAAAAUUCUUUGAUCUAUUGAUGACCACCUGUGGCGAAGGCGGUCUACCAGAACACGUUCGACGGUGAGGGAUGAAAGCUGGGGGAGCAAACCGGAUUAGAUACCCGGGUAGUCCCAGCUGUAAACGAUGCAAACUAGGUGAUGCGUUGGCUUGUUGCUAGCGCAGUGCCUCAGGGAAGCCGUUAAGUUUGCCGCCUGGGAAGUACGUACGCAAGUAUG
This 380-nucleotide ribosomal RNA is filed under the name uncultured Nitrososphaerota archaeon. Its description in RNAcentral is "bacterial SSU rRNA". It matches the Rfam family "Archaeal small subunit ribosomal RNA", at positions 471 to 851 of the family's 1478-position model. Lineage: Archaea; Thermoproteati; Nitrososphaerota. The record is from RNAcentral.